RNAcentral lists this ribosomal RNA (573 nucleotides) under Ravinia stimulans. RNAcentral's name for it is "eukaryotic LSU rRNA". It matches the Rfam family "Eukaryotic large subunit ribosomal RNA", at positions 727 to 1242 of the family's 3401-position model. Lineage: Eukaryota; Metazoa; Arthropoda; Insecta; Diptera; Sarcophagidae. The record is from RNAcentral. RNAcentral also lists the same sequence under 1 other name.
UAUGGGAUUAGUUUUUAGAUUAUUUAUAGUCUAUUAAUUCAAUCCCGGGGCGUUCUAUUUGGUUAUGUAUAAUAAUAUUUAUAUUAUUUAUACCUCUAACUAGAGCGUACCUUGAGCAUAUAUGCUGUGACCCGAAAGAUGGUGAACUAUACUUGAUCAGGUUGAAGUCAGGGGAAACCCUGAUGGAAGACCGAAACAGUUCUGACGUGCAAAUCGAUUGUCAGAAUUGAGUAUAGGGGCGAAAGACCAAUCGAACCAUCUAGUAGCUGGUUCCCUCCGAAGUUUCCCUCAGGAUAGCUGGUGCAUUUAGAAAUUAUGUAAAAUAAUCUUAUCUGGUAAAGCGAAUGAUUAGAGGCCUUAGGGUCGAAACGACCUUAACCUAUUCUCAAACUUUAAAUGGGUAAGAACCUCACCUUUCUUGGUAUGAAGGUUGUGGUUGUGAUAUAAUGUGCCCAGUGGGCCACUUUUGGUAAGCAGAACUGGCGCUGUGGGAUGAACCAAACGUAAUGUUACGGUGCCCAAAUUAACAACUCAUGCAGAUACCAUGAAAGGCGUUGGUUGCUUAAAACAGCA